This 301-nucleotide ribosomal RNA is filed under the name uncultured bacterium. RNAcentral's name for it is "partial 16S ribosomal RNA". It matches the Rfam family "Bacterial small subunit ribosomal RNA", at positions 509 to 807 of the family's 1533-position model. The record is from RNAcentral.
CAGUAGCCGCGGUAAUACGAAGGGUGCAAGCGUUAAUCGGAAUUACUGGGCGUAAAGCGUGCGUAGGCGGUUUGUUAAGUCUGCUGUGAAAUCCCCGGGCUCAACCUGGGAAUGGCAGUGGAUACUGGCAAGCUAGAGUGUGUCAGAGGAUGGUGGAAUUCCCGGUGUAGCGGUGAAAUGCGUAGAGAUCGGGAGGAACAUCAGUGGCGAAGGCGGCCAUCUGGGACAACACUGACGCUGAGGCGCGAAAGCGUGGGGAGCAAACAGGAUUAGAGACCCCUGUAGUCCCUGUCUCUUAUAC